Molecule: long non-coding RNA, 605 nt
Organism: Aedes albopictus (Asian tiger mosquito)
Lineage: Eukaryota; Metazoa; Arthropoda; Insecta; Diptera; Culicidae
Exons: 2
Source: RefSeq, a predicted model, not a curated record
UCCACCGUUUGCAGCCAGAGCUAGGGCCGUGUUCCGCUUCCGAGACUGGUGAGUGAUGGUUCUAGUCGUCGAGAUUGUCGGCCACUCCCUUUACAUCUCGCUUUGCAUUGCUGGUCUGCUAGGCGGAAUGAAGCGAAAAAAGCACCGCCGUCUGCAUGUAGCACCAUUCACUCAGUGAGGUUCGAGGAUCGGUGACAAGUACCUAAUUUGAUGCCAGUAAUAGUCGGUCUACUAAAGGCUUUCGGGACAUGAUGCUCUCUCGGGAUCGGACCCCGUUUCCACGAUUUCUGCUCCUUCAGUGACAUUGCUGUUCCUGGCAGCGGCUGCCAGGCAUCCUAAGCAUGCAGCACUCCUUCAUCCUACGGCCACCGAUAUGGUUUACCUCUUCAAUCGGAUGCUUUAUUCCGCUACACACAAGCAUUUCUAGCAUCUUGACAGGCUCCCCAAUCCAGCCCGAUUAUAAACCAGUACCCCCGUCUAUAACAGCACCUUCUGCAGCAUCGGCGAGGUACUCGAAAUCGGUCACCACCUCAGUCGUAAACGAUUGGAUAAAGAACUAUUUUAACCCAUUAAGCCGUGGAAAUUAGACGAGGUGUCAGAGUUUA